GUCCAGUUUCUUUUUUAAAAUGCUGGAAAGGAUCCAGGGAAGCUGCAUCAUUUUUAGAUAGGAGAUGACAUCACUUCCCAACUUGCUUAGGAGGCCUAAAGUCUUGCUCUAUUCUUGGUCUAGCACCUCACUUUCCAUUCUCUUUACAACCUAUUGUCCUUUUUUGUACUUAGCCUAGCAGGACCUGGGGGGCCCAGCUUGAAAAAGGAUGUUAGCAUCCCCCUCCCUUCUGCCGACCUACCUCCUCUUGUAGCAACCUGGCGCCCCCUCGACAACUCAUGGCUCUGGAAACCAGAAAUCUGCAAUCAAGGUGUAACCAGGGUUUUCCUUCUUUUUUUGUACCAGGGAUCAAACUCAGGACCUUGCGCUUUCAAGGCAGGCAUGGUGCCACUGAGCUAAAUCCUUGGCAGGGUUUUCCUUCUCAGAGCUGUGAGGGAUGCUCAGUUCCUUCUCUCUUGUCUUGCUUCUUGUAGUCUCAGAUGUUCCUUGGCUUGUAAAUGGCAUUCCCCUUGUGUCUUUACAUCAUCUUCCUUGGGUGUGUCUCUGUGUGCACAUGCCUUGUUUUCAUAAUGACCCACUUUAAUGACCACCUUAAGGACCUCAUCUUAACUUGGUCAUCUACAAAGACCCUAUUUCCAGAUAAGAUGCCUUUCAAGGUGCUGGGGGAUUAGGACUUCAGCAUCUUUUGGAGGCCCACAAUUCACUGGACAGCAGCAACCAAACAAAAUGAGUGUUUUGAUAAUUGUUAUAAGGCAUGACAACAAUUUGUAAGUCCUGAGAGACCAAAAAGAAACUUCUGUUCAAAUAAUACUUGUAAAGGCAAAACUUUGUAACAGAAAACAGGGUGAAUUGGUAUCAAUUACAAACAUACAAAUAUUCAUUUUGCACAAGAGAAGCAAACUGAUAUUCUUGAGAAAGAUUUUCAUUUAAUACCUAUCCAACCAGAUUAUUUGGACUAGUUUUAUAAUGCAAUGGUGUCUCUCCCUCCAAGUGUAAGGGAAUGUUACCCUGUCUGAGGCUUAGUUAUGAAGAUUUGGAUUUGUAGUUAGCACUGAAAAGGAAAGGACAGGGAAAACACCUGAGAAGCUCAGACCUUACACUCUCCCUUCCAAAUUAUUUUGCGUGCUUUUUGGUGCAGCAUAUUGUUAAAGUAUGGUAUGACAAAGUCAGGUUCAAGCGCUGAGUGACCCAGUUACCUAUGUCCAGUUACUUUAAUCAUUUUAGAUCUUGUGGCUUUGGGUUGUGGUUUUUUCCUGUUUGUUUUUGCAGUGCUGGAUUUAAACCUAGGGCUCCACAAAUGGUAGGCAAGUGCUCUACCUCUAAGCCACACCAUUCAUUCAUUCAUUCAUUUUUGGGGCAAGGUCUUGCUGAGUUGCCCAGGCUGGCCUCAAACUUGACAGCCUCCUGCCUCAGUUUUCUGAGUUGCUGAGAUUACAGGUGUGUGUGCCCGCAGUUUGUAGAAUUUUAAAGGAGAAAAUUUUGCUGUUUAAAAAAAAUUGUUUUUAAUAGAUCUUUCUAUUGAUUUUGUGAAAGUUUUACCAAAAUUUAUUUUAAACAUGAGGUGAUUUCAAAUAAGAGCAAGAGCUCUCCAAGGAUUCUCUGCAGAAAAUUUUCUGACAGCAGAAUAAAUUUGUCCCCGGAGUCUUCUGAGUUUUGUUCAGAAUUCUUUCCCUUUAGACUUAUUUCACUCAGUUUGUUUUUUAGCUCCUUGUUUGUUUUUAUUUUUGUUAUCUAGAUGCUAAUCUUUGUUUGCCCAAGUUCUGACAUUUUUACCCUAGAGUUAAUUACUCCAGAUGGUGGACUCUUCUGUUUUGCAAGCAAAUAAAGUGGA
Long non-coding RNA from Heterocephalus glaber (naked mole-rat), 1831 nucleotides. NCBI's taxonomy places the organism in Eukaryota, Metazoa, Chordata, Mammalia, Rodentia, Bathyergidae. The record is from Ensembl.